This 1377-nucleotide ribosomal RNA is filed under the name uncultured bacterium. Its description in RNAcentral is "16S ribosomal RNA". It matches the Rfam family "Bacterial small subunit ribosomal RNA". The record is from RNAcentral.
AGUUUGAUCCUGGCUCAAGACGAACGCUGGCGGCGUGCUUAACACAUGCAAGUCAAACGGGGUUAAUGUUUUCGGAUAUUAACUUAUUGGCGAACGGAAUGAGUAACGCGUGAGGAACCUGCCUUUCAGUGGGGGACAACAGUUGGAAACUACUGCUAAUACCGCAUGAUACUAUUGAGGGACAUCCCUUGAUAGUCGAAGCUUUAUGUGCUGAAAGAUGGCCUCCCGUCUGAUUAGCUACUUGGAGGGGUAACGGCCCACCAAGGCGACAAUCAGUAGCCGGACUGAAAGGUUGACCGGCCACAUUGGGACUGAAAUACGGCCCAUACUCCUACGGGAGGCAGACAAGGGGAAUAUUGGGCAAUGGGAGCAAGCCUGAACCAGCAACGCCGCGUGAACGAACAACGCUAUCUGGUUAUAAACUUCUUUUAUCAGCGACGAAGAACGUGACGGUACCUGCAGAAAAAGCACCGGCUAACUACGUGCCAGCAGCCGCGGUAAUACGUAGGUUGCAAGCGUUGUCCGGAAUUACUGGGUGUAAAGGGCGUGUAGGCGGAGAUGCAAGUUGGGAGUGAAAUCCAUGGGCUCAACCCAUGAACUGCUUUCAAAACUGCAUCCCUUGAGUAUCGGAGAGGCAAGCGGAAUUCCUAGUGUAGCGGUGAAAUGCGUAGAUAUUAGGAGGAACACCAGUGGCGAAGGCGGCUUGCUGGACGACAACUGACGCUGAGGCGCGAAAGCGUGGGGAGCAAACAGGAUUAGAUACCCUGGUAGUCCACGCCGUAAACGCUGAAAACGAGGUGUGGGAGGACUGACCCCUUCCGUGCCACAGAUAACACAAUAAGUAUUCCUCCUGGAGAGUACGACCGCAAGAGUUUAAACUCAAAGGAAAGGGGGGGGGCCCGCACAAGCAGUGGAUUAUGUGGUUUAAUUGGAAGCAACGGGAAGAACCUUACCUGGUCUUGACAUCUGGAUGACCGGUCCUUGACCGUACCUUCUCUUCGGAGCAUCCAAGACAGGUGGUGCAUGGUUGUCGUCAGCUCGUGUCGUGAGAUGUUGGGUUAAGUCCCGCAACGAGCGCAACCCUUAUUUUUAGUAGCCAGCGGUUUGGCCGGGCCCUAUAGAGAGACCGCCAGGGAUAACCUGGAGGAAGGAGGGGAUGACGUCAAAUCAUCCUCCCCCUUAUGAUCGGGGCUACACACGUGCUACAAUGGUGUAAACAAAGGGACGCAGAGCCGCGAGGCCGAGCAAAUCUCAAAAAUCCCGUCUCAGUUCGGGUCGUAGUGUGCAUCUCGACUACAUGAAGCGGGAAUCACUAGUAAUCGCGAAUCAGAAUGUCGCGGUGAAUACGUUCCCGGGUCGUGCACUCAACGCCCGUCA